Molecule: ribosomal RNA, 336 nt
Filed under: gamma proteobacterium SCGC AAA023-I17
Lineage: Bacteria; Pseudomonadati; Pseudomonadota; Gammaproteobacteria
Description: bacterial SSU rRNA
Rfam family: Bacterial small subunit ribosomal RNA
Source: RNAcentral
AAUGGGCGAAAGCCUGAUCCAGCCAUGCCGCGUGUGUGAAGAAGGUCUUCGGAUUGUAAAGCACUUUAAGUUGGGAGGAAGGGCAGUAAAUUAAUACUUUGNNGNUUUGACGUUACCGACAGAAUAAGCACCGGCUAACUCUGUGCCAGCAGCCGCGGUAAUACGGAGGGUGCAAGCGUUAAUCGGAAUUACUGGGNGUAAACCGCGCGUAGGUGGUUCGUUAAGUCGGAUGUGAAAUCCCCGGGCUCAACCUGGGAACUGCAUUCGAAACUGNCGAGCUAGAGUACGGGUAGAGGUAGGUGGAAUUUCCNGUGUAGGGGUGAAAUGCGUAGAUAU